This 720-nucleotide ribosomal RNA is filed under the name Micromonospora sp. I12A-01955. RNAcentral's name for it is "bacterial SSU rRNA". It matches the Rfam family "Bacterial small subunit ribosomal RNA", at positions 81 to 816 of the family's 1533-position model. Lineage: Bacteria; Bacillati; Actinomycetota; Actinomycetes; Micromonosporales; Micromonosporaceae. The record is from RNAcentral.
UUCGGGGUACUCGAGCGGCGAACGGGUGAGUAACACGAGAGCAACCUGCCCCAGGCUUUGGGAUAACCCCGGGAAACCGGGGCUAAUACCGAAUAUGACCUUGCACCGCAUGGUGUUUGGUGGAAAGUUUUUCGGCUUGGGAUGGGCUCGCGGCCUAUCAGCUUGUUGGUGGGGUGAUGGCCUACCAAGGCGACGACGGGUAGCCGGCCUGAGAGGGCGACCGGCCACACUGGGACUGAGACACGGCCCAGACUCCUACGGGAGGCAGCAGUGGGGAAUAUUGCACAAUGGGCGGAAGCCUGAUGCAGCGACGCCGCGUGAGGGAUGACGGCCUUCGGGUUGUAAACCUCUUUCAGCAGGGACGAAGCGUAAGUGACGGUACCUGCAGAAGAAGCGCCGGCCAACUACGUGCCAGCAGCCGCGGUAAGACGUAGGGCGCGAGCGUUGUCCGGAUUUAUUGGGCGUAAAGAGCUCGUAGGCGGCUUGUCGCGUCGACCGUGAAAACCUGGGGCUCAACCCCAGGCCUGCGGUCGAUACGGGCAGGCUAGAGUUCGGUAGGGGAGACUGGAAUUCCUGGUGUAGCGGUGAAAUGCGCAGAUAUCAGGAGGAACACCGGUGGCGAAGGCGGGUCUCUGGGCCGAUACUGACGCUGAGGAGCGAAAGCGUGGGGAGCGAACAGGAUUAGAUACCCUGGUAGUCCACGCUGUAAACGUUGGGCGC